ACGGCAAGUGAGCGGCACAGCUCAAUUUGAAAUCUGGCUCUCGGGCCCGAGUUGUAAUUUGUAGAGGAUGCUUUUGGUGAGGUGCCUUCCGAGUUCCCUGGAACGGGACGCCAUAGAGGGUGAGAGCCCCGUCUGGUUGGACACCGAUCCUCUGUAAAGCUCCUUCGACGAGUCGAGUAGUUUGGGAAUGCUGCUCUAAAUGGGAGGUAUAUGUCUUCUAAAGCUAAAUACCGGCCAGAGACCGAUAGCGCACAAGUAGAGUGAUCGAAAGAUGAAAAGAACUUUGAAAAGAGAGUUAAAAAGUACGUGAAAUUGUUGAAAGGGAAGCGCUUGUGACCAGACUUGGGCUUGGUUGAUCAUCCGGGGUUCUCCCCGGUGCACUCUUCCGGCUCAGGCCAGCAUCAGUUCGCCCUGGGGGAUAAAGGCUUCGGGAAUGUGGCUCUCUCCGGGGAGUGUUAUAGCCCGCUGCGUAAUACCCUGUGGCGGACUGAGGUUCGCGCAUUCGCAAGGAUGCUGGCGUAAUGGUCAUCAGUGACCCGUCUUGAAACGAUAAAAACAAAAUG
Molecule: ribosomal RNA, 563 nt
Filed under: Fusarium oxysporum f. sp. ciceris
Lineage: Eukaryota; Fungi; Ascomycota; Sordariomycetes; Hypocreales; Nectriaceae
Description: eukaryotic LSU rRNA
Rfam family: Eukaryotic large subunit ribosomal RNA
Source: RNAcentral